This 1244-nucleotide ribosomal RNA is filed under the name metagenome. RNAcentral's name for it is "bacterial LSU rRNA". It matches the Rfam family "Bacterial large subunit ribosomal RNA", at positions 1564 to 2817 of the family's 2925-position model. The record is from RNAcentral.
UGAGUACGAGACGCUAAGGCGUCGAAGUAGUGUAUGUCAUACUUCCAAGAAAAGCUCGCACUGUCAUAGGUAAAAAAUGCCUGUACCAUAACCGACACAGGUGGGUAGGUAGAGUAUACUAAGGGGCGCGAGAUAACUCUCUCUAAGGAACUCGGCAAAAUGACUCCGUAACUUCGGGAGAAGGAGUGCCUUAUUUAUAAGGUUGCAAUAACAAGAUCCAAGCAACUGUUUACCAAAAACACAGGUCUCCGCUAAGUCGUAAGACGAUGUAUGGGGGCUGACGCCUGCCCAGUGCCAGAAGGUUAAAGAAGUUGGUUAGCAUUAGCGAAGCUGAUAACUGAAGCCCUGGUGAACGGCGGCCGUAACAAUAACGGUCCUAAGGUAGCGAAAUUCCUUGUCGGGUAAGUUCCGACCCGCACGAAAGGCGUAAUGAUUUGGAUACUGUCUCGGAGAGAGGCUCGGUGAAAUAGACUUGUCUGUGAAGAUGCGGACUACCUGCACCUGGACAGAAAGACCCUAUGAAGCUUUACUGUAACUUGAAAUUGAAAUUGGACUUUAGUCGCGCAGUAUAGGUGGGAGGCGUUGAGCAUAUUCUUGCGGGAAUAUAGGAGCCAUCAGUGAGAUACCACUCUUCUAAUGUUAGAUUUCUAACCUUGUACCAUUAUCUGGUCAAGGAACAGUUUCAGGCGGGCAGUUUGACUGGGGCGGUCGCCUCCCAAACGGUAACGGAGGCGUACAAAGGUUUCCUCUGAACGGAUAGAAAUCGUAUCUAGAGUAUAAAGGCAUAAGGAAGCUUGACUGUGAGACCUACAAGUCGAGCAGGGACGAAAGUCGGUCUUAGUGAUCUGACGGUACUGAGUGGAAAGGCCGUCACUCAACGGAUAAAAGUUACUCUAAGGAUAACAGGCUGAUCUCCCCCAAGAGUUCACAUCGACGGGGAGGUUUGGCACCUCGAUGUCGGCUCAUCGCAUCCUGGGGCGGUAGUACGUCCCAAGGGUUGGGCUGUUCGCCCAUGAAAGCGGUACGCGAGCUGGGUUCAGAACGUCGUGAGACAGUUCGGUCCAUAUCCGGUGUAGGCGUUAGAAUAUUGAGAGGAGCCUUCUUUAGUACGAGAGGACCGAGAAGGACAUACCUCUGGUGUACCAGUUAUCGUGCCAACGGUAAACGCUGGGUAGCUAUGUAUGGAGUGGAUAACCGCUGAAAGCAUCUAAGUGGGAAGCCCACCUCAAGAUGAGUAUUCUCAC